Molecule: small RNA, 861 nt
Filed under: Pongo abelii (Sumatran orangutan)
Lineage: Eukaryota; Metazoa; Chordata; Mammalia; Primates; Hominidae
Description: retained intron
Source: RNAcentral
UACCGCCUCCUGGCCGGCCUCGCGCCUUUCACCGGCACCUUGCGUCGGUCGCGCCGCGGGGCCUGCUCCUGCCGCGCGCACCCCCGGGGCUUCGGCUCCGGCACGGGUCGCGCCCAGCUUUCCUGCCCCUGAGGCCGCCGGCCAGCCGCCGCCAUGGGUGCCUACCUCUCCCAGCCCAACACGGUGAAGUGCUCCGGGGACGGGGUCGGUGCCCCGCGCCUGCCGCUGCCCUACGGCUUCUCCGCCAUGCAAGGCUGGCGCGUCUCCAUGGAGGAUGCUCACAACUGUAUUCCAGAGCUGGACAGUGAGACAGCCAUGUUUUCUGUCUACGAUGGACAUGGAGGUAACUUUAACAGAUCAUAUUGGUAACAUUCUAGGACUCCAAUUCCAGACGUUCCAGGGCAAGAACAGGUCCCUUGUUCAUUUACUUUCCAAGGCCUGGCCCUCAUUAUCAUUUCCUGCCUGGUGCUGUUUUUCUGUAUUCUGUCAUUCUUUUUUCCCAGUAGGUACUGUAUCGGUUUAUAAUCUUACCAGGACUUGUUUUAAUCCAAAGAGCCUCUUUAUCUUUUUUUAUUUUUUUAAUCUUUAUUUUUAUUUUAUUUUUAUUUUUUAAAAUUUAUUUUUAAAAUUUUUAGGCCAGGCGCACGGUAGCUCACGCCUGUAAUCCCAGCACAGUGGAUCACGAGGUCAGGAGUUCGAGACCAGCCUGACCAAUAUGGUGAAACCCCAUCUCUACUAAAAAUACAAAAAUUAGCUGGGCGUAGUGGCGGGCGCCUCGGGAGGCUGAGGCAGGAGAAUUACUUGAACCUGGGAAAUGGAGGUUGCAGUGAGGCAAGACCAUGCCACAGCACUCCAGCCUGG